RNAcentral lists this ribosomal RNA (484 nucleotides) under uncultured bacterium. RNAcentral describes it as "partial 16S ribosomal RNA". It matches the Rfam family "Bacterial small subunit ribosomal RNA", at positions 30 to 507 of the family's 1533-position model. The record is from RNAcentral.
AUUGAACGCUGGCGGCAGGCCUAACACAUGCAAGUCGAGCGGAUGAAGGGAGCUUGCUCCUGGAUUCAGCGGCGGACGGGUGAGUAAUGCCUAGGAAUCUGCCUGGUAGUGGGGGAUAACGUCCGGAAACGGGCGCUAAUUCCGCAUACGUCCUGAGGGAGAAAGUGGGGGAUCUUCGGACCUCACGCUAUCAGAUGAGCCUAGGUCGGAUUAGCUAGUUGGUGGGGUAAAGGCCUACCAAGGCGACGAUCCGUAACUGGUCUGAGAGGAUGAUCAGCCACACUGGAACUGAGACACGGUCCAGACUCCUACGGGAGGCAGCAGUGGGGAAUAUUGGACAAUGGGCGAAAGCCUGAUCCAGCCAUGCCGCGUGUGUGAAGAAGGUCUUCGGAUUGUAAAGCACUUUAAGUUGGGAGGAAGGGCAGUAAGUUAAUACCUUGCUGUUUUGACGUUACCAACAGAAUAAGCACCGGCUAACUUCGUG